GGUGUUUAGACGCACGACGAUACGUUAUGGCCACAGCAACUGCGGAUAAGACUCAAGCGAGCGUCAUUCUUAUCACGCUUUCAAAACAAUAUUUUCACAUUUGGUGUUUAUUGCCAUAGUUUCGGUGUCACUGUGUUUCUUCGAUUCUACACGUUGACAGUGUACGCUGUUGGAGUGGCAAUCUCCGCAACGCCCCACGUCCAGCUUUCAUUGCUCAUUGUGCAGAAUCAGGGCAGGAACCUCUUCAUCACAACCUUACCUCAAGUAAUUGUCAGCAUAUAGUUGGAGUCCAGCUUGGCAUCCAUACACAGCAGCCAGCAGCUAUGAUAUGUCCCUAUCAAAGUAUCGGCGACUGAAUUUUGACAGGAUUAAUUAUGUUGGUGUUGACUUCAAGGCGUGUGCUGCUGCAGUUUGAGGUGAGUAUUUAUCUUCCUGUUAAAUUGUUUGCAUGUCAUUUUGCUUCAAGAUUUUUACUGUUUAUGUGUAAAAGUUGUUUACUGAUUUGUGAACUGUUAUCUAAAAUCCAUAGUGAAUAAGCAUCAAUUAGUUAGACUAUUAAAACCUGUGACACUCUAUUCAUUUGAUACCAAGUGUUGCAGAUGACACUGACGGGGUGUAAAUGCUGGUUUAGUAUGGCUCCAAUCGGCUUUGUGGAUUUGGUGUCUUGUUGCAGUAUCUUAUACAUCGUGAGGAUUGGAGGUGUUGGUAAAUGCUUGUCGCAAUCCACAUUUCCUCAUUCACAAACUAUUUUUUAUUUUCUUGGCAAAUUUAAUUUUGUCUGCUUUGCUGUUUUUGUUUUGUUUUUGUCUUCAUUUUAUUACUCAUAGGUUUACCAAGAAUCAUCUGUUGAGUGUCUGUGUCCUGGCCAUCCCUAACGGCUCACUCCACCUUCGCAUUUGGAUUUUGUAGUGGCAGUUUUUCUAGAAAGGAGAGCUUGGGCAUCAGUUGCGAAGUUGAAGAAAUCUGCAUGUCGAACAAGUCACCAACUCCCUGGAUCAAGACUUAGAUUAAAGAAAUUGCGUGAAGGGGUUUGUGCUUGUGCAUUACUUUUGUGCCAGCUAUACAGCAACUCAAUGUGAUUUUGUAAAUCCUCUCUUUUGUUUAUUAAUUGCUUUAUAGCCUCUGGUAAUUUGAAUUUAAUGUUUUGUUGUAUGAAAUAUUCUGAAGCAAGCUUUUCGUACUCCUAAGAGUCAUUCAUUUGUCUUUUCAACUAGUGAGUCUGAUUGUUUGUAUCGGCAAGUAGUAGGGAUUUUCAUUUGUGAAUUAUAGACUAAAUUUUCUGUAUCAGGCAGGCAGUUAUUUUGACUUAUCACUGACACUCGCCUGGUAUGGUUUGCAGCGUGUCAACUAUAAAAGCAGAUACCUGCUUGUGUAUGUGGGUUUUGUUUAUUAAUUGAGUACACAUUCAACUAUAGUUGAAAAUCAUUCAAUGGCAAUAGAAUGAUGUGUGUGUGACAAACUCUAAUAACAUUAUGUUAAGCUUUGUAUGAAUGUACUGACCUUACUCUUACUAAAAAUACAUUUCCUUUGCUCACUCCCCUCCGUGCAAUUGAUUGUUAUAGCCCAAUAUUUUUAUUUUAUUUCUAACCAUUCUGGUGGUGCAUGUAAAGCCUUGAGUUUGUGAAGUUCAUUUCUUUUAGAACUAAUUGCCACGACAUUUUGUAGACUUCUGCUUUGAGUUGCAAUGUUUCUAUCCAGACUUUGGACCUCUUUAAAAAAUUUGAAGAGCUUUCCAGUUU
Frankliniella occidentalis (western flower thrips) is the source of this 1739-nucleotide long non-coding RNA. RefSeq lists it as uncharacterized. The record is from RefSeq and is a predicted model, not a curated record. The transcript has 4 exons. NCBI's taxonomy places the organism in Eukaryota, Metazoa, Arthropoda, Insecta, Thysanoptera, Thripidae.